CAUCGCCUCUUGCAACCAUAAGAGGUCCAGCCUGCCCAGUGAUCUAAUUCAACGGCCGCGGUAUCCUAACCGUGCAAAGGUAGCGUAAUCACUUGUUUUCUAAAUAAAGACUAGUAUGAAAGGCAUCACGAGGACUUAACUGUCUCCUUUCUCCAAUCAGUGAACCUAAUCUUCCCGUGAAAAAGCGGGAAUCCACCUAUAAGACGAGAAGACCCUGUGGAGCUUUAAACAUAAUAACACCUGCCACCAUCUCUAACAACCCCGGUACCUCCUUCAAGCGGCACCCUGAUUAUAUGUUUUUGGUUGGGGCGACCGCGGAGAAAAACUCAUCCUCCGCAAUGAACGGGACUUCUUCCUUAAACAAUAAGUCACAACUUUACGUAUUAAAAAAUUAACAUUC
Molecule: ribosomal RNA, 400 nt
Filed under: Pristimantis inguinalis group sp. ABGD cluster 146
Lineage: Eukaryota; Metazoa; Chordata; Amphibia; Anura; Strabomantidae
Description: partial large subunit ribosomal RNA
Rfam family: Bacterial large subunit ribosomal RNA
Source: RNAcentral